GUUUUUAUAGUUUAAAUUAAAACAUUGGUCUUGUAAACCAAAAUUAGAAUAAUCUUUUAAACU
This 63-nucleotide transfer RNA is filed under the name Sivaloka damnosus. Its description in RNAcentral is "tRNA-Thr". The stretch from base 1 to 51 matches the Rfam family "tRNA". Rfam says of the family: Transfer RNA (tRNA) molecules are approximately 80 nucleotides in length. Their secondary structure includes four short double-helical elements and three loops (D, anti-codon, and T loops). Further hydrogen bonds mediate the characteristic L-shaped molecular structure. tRNAs have two regions of fundamental functional importance: the anti-codon, which is responsible for specific mRNA codon recognition, and the 3' end, to which the tRNAs corresponding amino acid is attached (by aminoacyl-tRNA synthetases). tRNAs cope with the degeneracy of the genetic code in two manners: having more than one tRNA (with a specific anti-codon) for a particular amino acid; and 'wobble' base-pairing, i.e. permitting non-standard base-pairing at the 3rd anti-codon position. The record is from RNAcentral. Lineage: Eukaryota; Metazoa; Arthropoda; Insecta; Hemiptera; Issidae.